GCAUCGAUGAAGAACGCAGCGAAAUGCGAUAAGUAAUAUGAAUUGCAGAUUUUCGUGAAUCAUCGAAUCUUUGAACGCACAUUGCGCCCUCUGGUAUUCCAGAGGGCAUGCCUGUUUGAGCGUCAUUUCUCUCUCAAACCCCCGGGUUUGGUAUUGAGUGAUACUCUUAGUCGGACUAGGCGUUUGCUUGAAAAGUAUUGGCAUGGGUAGUACUAGAUAGUGCUGUCGACCUCUCAAUGUAUUAGGUUUAUCCAACUCGUUGAAUGGUGUGGCGGGAUAUUUCUGGUAUUGUUGGCCCGGCCUUACAACAACCAAACAAGUUUGACCUCAAAUCAGGUAGGAAUACCCGCUGAACUUAAGCAUAUCAAUAAGCGGAGGA
RNAcentral lists this ribosomal RNA (379 nucleotides) under Meyerozyma guilliermondii. RNAcentral describes it as "eukaryotic LSU rRNA". The stretch from base 1 to 125 matches the Rfam family "5.8S ribosomal RNA", at positions 30 to 154 of the family's 154-position model. Lineage: Eukaryota; Fungi; Ascomycota; Pichiomycetes; Serinales; Debaryomycetaceae. The record is from RNAcentral.